This 468-nucleotide ribosomal RNA is filed under the name uncultured bacterium. RNAcentral's name for it is "partial 16S ribosomal RNA". It matches the Rfam family "Bacterial small subunit ribosomal RNA", at positions 28 to 507 of the family's 1533-position model. The record is from RNAcentral.
GACGAACGCUGGCGGCGUGCUUAACACAUGCAAGUCGAACGGACAGGCCCUGCUCUUGCGGGGUGCUCGAGUGGCGAACGGGUGAGUAACACGUGAGUAAACUGCCCUUGUCUUUGGGAUAACUUCAGGAAACUGGGGCUAAUACAGGAUAGGAGCUCCUGCUGCAUGGUGGGGGUUGGAAAGUUUCGGCGGUUGGGGAUGGACUCGCGGCUUAUCAGCUUGUUGGUGGGGUAGUGGAUUACCAAGGCUUUGACGGGUAGCCGGCCUGGGAGGUUGACCGGGCACAAUGGUACUGAGGUACGGCCCAGACUCCUACGUGAGGCAGCAGUGGGGAAUAUUGCACAAUGGGCGGAAGCCUGAGGCAGCAACGCCGCGUGCGGGAUGACGGCCUUCGAGGUGUAAACCGCUUUCUCCUGUAACGAAGCGUGAGUGACGGUAAUGGGUAAAGAAGCACCGGCUAACUACGUG